AAUGGAAUCUGCCUAGAGCAGAAUUUUCUAAACAUUUUGCCGAUUUACUGGUAUCAAAGGAAAAUAGGUAAACGUUGAACUUUUUGCCUAAGCCAGUUUAACAUUUAUCAUUGUCAAUAGAAGUAUUUAAGCCAGCACAUUGGGAUAAUAAUCUGAAUUCUAAAAUUGGAGUCUAAAUCCGGUUGAUCGUCGAAGAAAUUUUCUGUUGAUAAUGCGCAGUCAGCUUUUAAUACUUUUGGUAGUUACAUGCGUCGCCGCUGUCCUGUCACAAGACCAAUGCGUUGACGACAAUGGUGAUUACCACGAUCAAGGCGAUGGUGUGACAGAUAACAAAUUAGGUUUUGAGAGGAUUUGCACAUGCGUAUGGGUUGAGAACGAAGAAGACCCGGAUGCUUCUUAUGCCGACUGGUCAUGUACCGGCCCAGCGCCAUGAUUACCUAAUUUACUUGUACUUGUGUGAUGUUUGCUGUUAAAAAUUAAUCAAUAAAUUUUUUAGAAUGGUCAAUAUUUACUUUUUUAUCCCUCAUAUUCAUCUAAUUUGCUGAAAAAUAUUUCAAGUUACUCUAGUCAACUUGUGUAUUUAGUAUUAAACACAUAAGUUACGCAUAAUAUGUCCGUUUCAAUUCUGAUAGGAUCAGCUGUCUACAAACCAUGUGCAAUGUAGGUAAGUUGUCAAACACUUACGAAGAAACAGUUUGAAAUAGACGACGGCUGACACAUGCUAAAAUUAUGUUUAAAACAUUAUAACAAAAAGGUACGUUUUACAGGUAAAGAUACCACAUUCGUUUCAGGUUAUUGCACACAAAGCCGUGGCAACAGUUACAGAGUUUGCUAAAUUUAAUACAAGUAUACUCAUUUAAGUAAUUCUCCUUCUUCGUUAUAAUAUGCGCCUACUAAUACUAGUAACUGUAAAUGGCGACAUGACCUACACGUUUUAAAUAUUAACGCGUGUUAAAAUCUUGACACCUCGGUGAUAAUUGCAGCUAUAUUCUGUGAGUAUGAAUAAACUGAAACCUUGCCACACAACCAGGAAUCAUAUGUUCUACCGGCAUUGUAGUAGUAACAAUGGUCUAGUAGCAUAUUACCAUCUACACUCAUGAACAGAAUAUGAUGAGACACAUCAGCCCCAAUUUCACGAAACAACUUAAGUAAUUGCUUAGCUAAGUCUGUUAUUUCAUGUGCUUGUUUUGCUCUUUAUGCGUCUUCAGUGCUGACUUUUUUCAUAGAUUCGCAGAUCAAACCAUUUACAGAAAACUUAAGUUCGUUAUAUCAUGCUAAGAUAGAAAUAUCAUAUUUUCGUGACUGAAAUAAGUACUACAGUCAAAUACUACUACCCAUAGUAUAAUUUAUCUCUAAAUACAUUGUUAUAGAAAACGUCAAAAUUAAAUAACAAUAACUGAAGCAACAGAACGAUUUUAAAAUGACAGACUUAACUAAAUAAUUACUUUAGUUUUUUUUUCGUGAAACUGGGGCCAGAUUUUCCUUAAAGUGCAUAAUUAUGAUUUAUCAAUUAGUGAACUUUCUUGUAGCGAUUUAAGAACCAGAUGUUGGAGUAAAGUUUAUCAUGUUGCAGCUUACACAUUUUACCGGUCCCUUUUCAGCGAAAGUUCGAGUUAUGCAUGUGCGUCACAUUUUCUUUCUUGUUGAUAUUCAACGGAAGCAUAAUAUGUCAUUAUGUUUCAUGAACUUUGAACUUUACCAUAUGUUACAAGCACUACGGUCAGUUUAGACAGCUUAUUAAUGAUUCCAGUUAUUAAAAUCAGUCUGUCGCACUAUUUUGCCGCCAUAAAAGUGAGCAGCCGAUGUUGUUCAUUUCAUUUUCAGCUUGAAUAAAAUAGAGGUAAGUUUAAUGGUUAAUUUUCGUUUGAACUUUUCUUGACGUAUAAAAUAUAAAAAAGUAAAAAGGGCUGUUUAAACUAUUGUUUUUAUAGCGGAGACAUGUGGGAUUAAAUAUUUAGUGCAAACUCCAGAUCCAGAUUGUCGAACAAAUCUGUUAGAAUGCACAUUCUUGGUACUAGAACGACUGUCUGUAUACCUCUCGGUGGUGUUUGUACCUGGUAUUGCUGUAUUUUGCAAAUAUGAUUCUUUUGACGAAAGGUACAACGGGGCAAUACAAAGUUUUAAUUAAAUUCGCACAUAUCAGAAAUACAGAGAAGCAUUGCCUAAAUACUUUUCAUAUAAGAUGACAACAAAUAUUUUGAAUCAAAUCUUGAAAAAACCUAAACAUGAAGAGAGCGGUGAAUUCGUACCUGAUCUGUUUGUUGCCGCGUCCAUUGUUUCAUAUAUUUUGUUUCUUUCAUUUGCUAUGAAAAAAAAACUUCAGGUCUUGCAUUACUAUAAAUCAAUUGUUAGGUUGUCAUAAUAGCAUUCUUCGUAUUUUAUUUCUUUUUGUUGUCAGUGCACAAAACGUCUUAAAUUCAAUAAUUCUAUAUUACUUUACAUAUCUAACUGAUGGAAAACUUACUCUUGCAGGUAAAAUGAAGUGUUUGAAGUUUGGAUUAUUUCUCUUGGCUGUUGUCUUAGCAACCAGUCUAAAACACGCUGAGGCUGAGGAAGCAUGUGAGUACGAUGGGAAUGGAUAUGAUCCAGGUGCAGAAUUCCCUUCAACCGACGGCUGUAACACAUGCACGUGUCAGACGGACGGACAAGUUGCCUGCACUACCCAAAGUUGUGAAGAUGAAUAGUUGAAACUCACC
This is a long non-coding RNA of Mercenaria mercenaria, 2696 nucleotides long. RefSeq lists it as uncharacterized. The transcript has 5 exons. Lineage: Eukaryota; Metazoa; Mollusca; Bivalvia; Venerida; Veneridae. The record is from RefSeq and is a predicted model, not a curated record.